UACGGAGGAUGCAAGCGUUAUCCGGAUUUAUUGGGUUUAAAGGGUGCGCAGGUUGUUUGAUAAGUCAGUGGUGAAAGUCUGUCGCUUAACGGUAGGAUUGCCAUUGAUACUGUUGGACUUGAAUAUGGAUGAGGUAGGCGGAAUGUGUAAUGUAGCGGUGAAAUGCUUAGAUAUUACACAGAACACCAAUUGCGUAGGCAGCUUACUGAGCCGACACUGACGCUGAGGCACGAAAGCGUGGGGAUCGAACAGGAUUA
Molecule: ribosomal RNA, 257 nt
Filed under: uncultured prokaryote
Description: partial 16S ribosomal RNA
Rfam family: Bacterial small subunit ribosomal RNA
Source: RNAcentral